UAGAUUUAUUAUAUAAAAUAGACGGUUAGUAUAUCGAUUUUUGAUCUAUCUAAAAUCGACUAGACUUCCGUUGAUUUUUAGCAAAAGAAAUUGCAACCGUUUUUACUUCCCGCGUCCCUCGUUUCAUAAAGAAAUGUGCUUUACACUUUUACUUCUCCAUUUCACCCACCUUCUCUCUCUGCUUCCGUCCCACCAUCUUCGCUCCGCUGCCAUUGCACAUUCGUGGAUCCACUACCUCGGCGCCCGUCGUUGCUCCGCUGUCGUAGCGCCGGUCGUCGCUCCGCUGCCCCUGCUUGUCGCUCCGCUGCCCCCGCUCGUCGCUCUGCUGCUCCCGUGCAUGUCGUCACUCCAUCGCACUCGCGCCGCUGUUGCUCCGUAAUUGACGGCAAGGCGGUGGCGCAGAAUAUCAUAUCUGAAAUCGCGGAGGAAGUGCGUGCCCUCUCUCAAAAUUAUGGAAAGGUACCACUGUAUCGAAAGAGGUGCAUUUGAUCUUGGCUUGCAUUUGAUUUGAUCUCUAUCAUUCCUUCAGAACUUGUUAGAAAGCUGUCACCUGCACCUCUGCAGACUUAUGGCCUGUUCAACAUGCUCCGUCUAUGGCGUCUUUGAAGAGUUAGUGCAUUGUUUUCAAGGUUGGAAAAGGACAAAAGCUAUAACUAUUUUUGGGUUCGAUGUGCCAAACUUAUGUGUGGAGUUUAAACAGUCACAAAUCAGUUUCUCUAGUCCAAAUGGCAGGAUUAGGCUUCGGAGCCAUUUUCUCUUUAUGGAAUACAUUCAACUAAGAAUGCUGAUCCCUUUCAUCUAAUGUGCCACAUCUUUGCAUCAAGCCCCAGGAUAUUUAUGGAGCUUGGCAUCUAUCCAAUUGUUAUUGCCAGAUAUAUGAUGCACUUCUUGGCAAGAUCUCAGCAUCCUGCAACAGUAAAUGCAUGUUAGAUGAUUCUGGAAAUCAUUAUUACAAUUGUUCAAGCCUUUGGCGCUAUCAAAUAUAGACUGUAUGGCCAACUCAGAUGGGUGGAUAGUCUCUUUGUAAUGGGUCAACUUUCAUUUGGAGGAAUAACUGUUAUAUACCUUAAUCAAUAUUUUUAGAAAGGAUAUAGUUUCAUUAGUUCUGAAAUCCCACCGUUCAUCUUUUCUAUUUUUAUACUUUUUCUUAAACAAAAUAAGCAUAGGGCAUAUCUAAAUAGCUAUAGAGUGAAAUCUAACAAGUCUU
This is a non-coding RNA of Arachis ipaensis, 1207 nucleotides long. Lineage: Eukaryota; Viridiplantae; Streptophyta; Magnoliopsida; Fabales; Fabaceae. The record is from RefSeq and is a predicted model, not a curated record.